AGCAUUCAUUACUGUAAGUCGCUCUGGAUAAAAGUGUCUGCUAAAUGACUCAAA
Molecule: non-coding RNA, 54 nt
Organism: Salmo salar (Atlantic salmon)
Lineage: Eukaryota; Metazoa; Chordata; Actinopteri; Salmoniformes; Salmonidae
Source: Rfam